GGACUCACAGGGCUUCUGACCUCGCUUGUAAAGAAAAUGGAAAAAGAUUUAGGGAGAGAGCGCGCAGGGUGCUAGGGGAAGCAGCUCGCUGUGCAGCUGCUCUGGAUGCCUUUGGAUUACAUCAGAGUGGCUGAGAAAACAAGAGGCAGCGAGAGGGAGAGAGGAGCUCGGGUAAACCCGUCGCAGUGACACUUCCAGGGUGGCCUUCACCAAGUCAGUCACUACAGAAGAACACUGCUGACCAUGUUCUCAGGGGCUCUGAUGGUGUUGCUGGUGGUCCUCAUCAUGUGCAGGAGGGUCAUAUGGCACGGGAUCUGCCUGCUGAUUGGUCGGAUGUUGUUUAACGAGCCUGUGAGGGAUAAACAAAGAACUAAUAAAGUUUUGUGAGACCAA
Gadus morhua (Atlantic cod) is the source of this 393-nucleotide long non-coding RNA. RefSeq lists it as uncharacterized. The record is from RefSeq and is a predicted model, not a curated record. The transcript has 4 exons. NCBI's taxonomy places the organism in Eukaryota, Metazoa, Chordata, Actinopteri, Gadiformes, Gadidae.